GUCUACAGCCAUGCCACCCUGAAUGUGCCCGAUCUGGUCUGAUCUCGGAAGCUAAGCAGUGUCGGGCCUGGUUAGUACUUGGAUGGGAGAUCACCUAGGAAUACCAGGAGCUGUAGGUG
RNAcentral lists this ribosomal RNA (119 nucleotides) under Pteropus alecto (black flying fox). Lineage: Eukaryota; Metazoa; Chordata; Mammalia; Chiroptera; Pteropodidae. The record is from RNAcentral.